This 515-nucleotide ribosomal RNA is filed under the name uncultured fungus. Its description in RNAcentral is "partial 18S ribosomal RNA". The stretch from base 1 to 260 matches the Rfam family "Eukaryotic small subunit ribosomal RNA", at positions 997 to 1831 of the family's 1831-position model. The record is from RNAcentral. Lineage: Eukaryota; Fungi.
UACGAAGACGAUCAGAUACCGUCGUAGUCUUAACCAUAAACUAUGCCGACUAGGGAUCGGGCGAUGUUAUCUUUUGUACUCGCUCGGCACCUUACGAGAAAUCAAAGUCUUUGGGUUCGUGGGGGGAGUAUGGUCGCAAGGCUGAAACUUAAAGAAAAUUGACGGAAGGGCACCACCAGGAGUCAACAGCUAGGCAGCUCUGCUCUGAAAAGCACCCCGAGAGGGUGGUGGUGUACCUACAUGUAUAGUGCUAGUCAGUAAUGGCAACACCCCCAAAUUGCGGGGAACCCCUAAUGCUCACGGUACCACACAGCGCCGAAAGGCCCUGCACGGUUACAAGCCACGAGAUGUUACAAUGGGCAAUCCGCAGCCGAUCCCUACCGCUACACCAGCUACGGGAGUGGUUCAGAGACUAGAUGGGAGUGGGAGGAAGCACCUCUUAAGAUAUAGUCCGUCCAAAAGCUUAUGCUUUUCGAAUCUCACGGGAGCCUGCGGCUUAAUUUGACUCAACACGG